Contarinia nasturtii (swede midge) is the source of this 437-nucleotide long non-coding RNA. RefSeq lists it as uncharacterized. NCBI's taxonomy places the organism in Eukaryota, Metazoa, Arthropoda, Insecta, Diptera, Cecidomyiidae. The transcript has 3 exons. The record is from RefSeq and is a predicted model, not a curated record.
CACGUUUCAAUCUGGAAACUAAAGAAAUAAACUCAUAUUUUCGUCGAAUUAAUACUUUAUUGGAUUGAAUUCAUUUCAAAUAUUCUUCUAUUCGCCCAAGAGCAUUUCAUUUUGUUGGAAGUUAUUUAUCAAAAGGUAAAAAUCCGAAAAUGUUGAACUGGAAUAACGAGAUGAGCCAAAUGCUUCUUGCGUUCGAACUACAAGCCAAAUAUUCUCUGAGCAACAUUAAAAUGGCACUAAAACACGAUGGUUUGUCGUUUAAUGCUGAGUUCAGGCAGUAUUUUUUGCGAGCUACGACCCAUCGAAUCGAGGAAACCUAUGACAACUUCGAAAUUAAUUCAAUUUUUGAGGACCAAGUGAACGGUGAUGCUUAUGGAAGCACGUCAGCAAUUGAUAGACUUCCGAUGCUGAGCUCAAUGUAUACCAAAAAUCAUGAC